This 301-nucleotide ribosomal RNA is filed under the name uncultured bacterium. RNAcentral's name for it is "partial 16S ribosomal RNA". It matches the Rfam family "Bacterial small subunit ribosomal RNA", at positions 509 to 809 of the family's 1533-position model. The record is from RNAcentral.
CAGUAGCCGCGGUAAUACAGAGGGUGCGAGCGUUAAUCGGAUUUACUGGGCGUAAAGCGUGCGUAGGCGGCUUUUUAAGUCGGAUGUGAAAUCCCUGAGCUUAACUUAGGAAUUGCAUUCGAUACUGGGAAGCUAGAGUAUGGGAGAGGAUGGUAGAAUUCCAGGUGUAGCGGUGAAAUGCGUAGAGAUCUGGAGGAAUACCGAUGGCGAAGGCAGCCAUCUGGCCUAACACUGACGCUGAGGUACGAAAGCAUGGGGAGCAAACAGGAUUAGAUACCCCUGUAGUCCCUGUCUCUUAUAA